GAUGAACGCUGGCGGCGUGCCUAAUACAUGCAAGUAGAACGCUGAAGGAGGAGCUUGCUCUUCUGGAUGAGUUGCGAACGGGUGAGUAACGCGUAGGUAACCUGCCUGGUAGCGGGGGAUAACUAUUGGAAACGAUAGCUAAUACCGCAUGACAACAGUUAUUGCAUGAUAACUGUUUAAAAGGGGCAACUGCUCCACUACCAGAUGGACCUGCGUUGUAUUAGCUAGUUGGUGAGGUAACGGCGCAACACGGCGACGAUACAUAGCCGGCCGGAGAGGGGGGACGGCCAACCUGGGACUGAGACACGGCCCAGACUCCUAACGGAGGGAGCAGUAGGGAAUCUUCGGCAAUGGACGGAAGGCUGACCGAGCAACGCCGCGUGAGUGAAGAAGGUUCUCGGAUCGUAAAGCUCUUUUGUAAGAGAAGAACGAGUGGGAGAGGGGAAAGUGCACACUGUGACGGUAUCUUACCAGAAAGGGACGGCUAACUACGUG
RNAcentral lists this ribosomal RNA (495 nucleotides) under uncultured bacterium. RNAcentral's name for it is "partial 16S ribosomal RNA". It matches the Rfam family "Bacterial small subunit ribosomal RNA", at positions 28 to 507 of the family's 1533-position model. The record is from RNAcentral.